UACGUAGGGUGCAAGCGUUAAUCGGAAUUACUGGGCGUAAAGCGCGUGUAGGCGGCCCGAUAAGUCCGCUGUGAAAGUCCAGGGCUCAACCCCGGGCCUGCAGUCGAUACGGGCAGACUAGAGUGCGGUAGGGGAGACUGGAAUUCCUGGUGUAGCGGUGAAAUGCGCAGAUAUCAGGAGGAACACCGGUGGCGAAGGCGGGUCUCUGGGCCGUAACUGACGCUGAGGAGCGAAAGCGUGGGGAGCGAACAGG
This 253-nucleotide ribosomal RNA is filed under the name uncultured bacterium. RNAcentral's name for it is "partial 16S ribosomal RNA". It matches the Rfam family "Bacterial small subunit ribosomal RNA", at positions 524 to 776 of the family's 1533-position model. The record is from RNAcentral.